RNAcentral lists this unclassified non-coding RNA (322 nucleotides) under Hevea brasiliensis (rubber tree). Lineage: Eukaryota; Viridiplantae; Streptophyta; Magnoliopsida; Malpighiales; Euphorbiaceae. The record is from RNAcentral.
CCGCGGACUGCUGACGGCCCGGCGGGUAUUUCUCGAUCUGGGCUUUCGCCCACGCCAGAUUCUCCGCGCUGAACGCGAAGCUUGCGGGCUGUACCUCUUUCGGAGCCAAACGGCGGACGGCCAUCGUUUAAGUCUUUCGAUCUNNNNNNNNCAAUUCUAUUGCGUCAAGUCUUACUGCGUCAUGGCGCGGCGCGCGUUACCUGAAUUCAUGCUGUAGAUACGCUGUUCCCAGAACACGCUCGACGUCGCGAACNNNNNNNNGACCUUGAUGCGGUCGAGUGUGGAGAGCUGGGUCAGUUCCUCGAACCGAUCCGUCGCCGGA